GCCUACAAACCGCCAAAAACUGUCAGUGUUGAAGACUUUCCUUCACACUUCCACUAGCUGAGUAACGGGUAUCAGAUAGUCGGGGAACUCGACUAUUGCGUUCUCUCUUGUUUUCGUAUCAUUUCGUAUCUGAUAUUUCGCUAUUGCGAAGUGAAACCACUUAAUGAAGACUGAUAUUAGGGUUCAAUCAAACAUUGCUUCAAAACCUUUCCGCCGUGCUUUUUGAAGAUAAAUAGCAUUUCUGCUCGAGUGCCUCCUUCAUUUCACCUACACUUUUCAAAAAAUCUUACGCACUUACGUACUGUCGAAACCUUUCUCGUUCUACCUGUCAGUUUUUGAUGUUGGCUAAAUUAAAAGAAAAUAAUAUUAGUGCCCACAUAUUUUUCCCAGUAUCAAUAUCGAUGGAAGUGCACUGCAUAAAUCAUAAAGUUUGUAAGUGUAUCAUAUGUGAUGCAAGAGGCAGGAGAGGAUGAAAAAGUCCUAUGAGCUGAGCCAAUUGUGUGGAAACUAUGAAUGCUUCUGAAAAGUGCAACCCAUGGGACGAAGUAAACUCAAAACAAAUAAAUUUGGCGUGGGAACUCAUUUAAAAGCUCAAACAAGUGCAGAGACAUACUUAUACAUCGGUAUGCUGCGGAACGGGUGUUAAAUUGCCGAGGACCUCAUCUGCAGCAAUAUAUGUGGUUUGCCUAAAAGGGCAAACUGUCAAUUUUCCAAGAUAAGCCGGUAUCACCGGCAGGACAGCAGGAUUAUAUAGCUAUUAUAUAUUUCAUAUUACAUGUUGUGCAUUAUGACAGUAUGCCACAACCAAACUUUUGAAAAACGUUAA
This is a long non-coding RNA of Drosophila yakuba, 826 nucleotides long. RefSeq lists it as uncharacterized. The record is from RefSeq and is a predicted model, not a curated record. The transcript has 2 exons. Lineage: Eukaryota; Metazoa; Arthropoda; Insecta; Diptera; Drosophilidae.